This 468-nucleotide ribosomal RNA is filed under the name uncultured bacterium. RNAcentral's name for it is "partial 16S ribosomal RNA". It matches the Rfam family "Bacterial small subunit ribosomal RNA", at positions 28 to 507 of the family's 1533-position model. The record is from RNAcentral.
GACGAACGCUGGCGGCGUGCUUAACACAUGCCAGUCGAACGGAAAGGCCCUGCUUUUGUGGGGUGCUCGAGUGGCGAACGGGUGAGUAACACGUGAGUAACCUGCCCUUGACUUUGGGAUAACUUCAGGAAACUGGGGCUAAUACCGGAUAGGAGCUCCUGCUGCAUGGUGGGGGUUGGAAAGUUUCGGCGGUUGGGGAUGGACUCGCGGCUUAUCAGCUUGUUGGUGGGGUAGUGGCUUACCAAGGCUUUGACGGUUAGCCGGCCUGAGAGGGUGACCGGCCACAUUGGGACUGAGAUACGGCCCAGACUCCUACGGGAGGCAGCAGUGGGGAAUAUUGCACAAUGGGCGGAAGCCUGAUGCAACAACGCCGCGUGCGGGAUGACGGCCUUCGGGUUGUAAACCGCUUUCGCCUGUGACGAAGCGUGAGUGACGGUAAUGGGUAAAGAAGCACCGGCUAACUACGUG